Molecule: ribosomal RNA, 592 nt
Filed under: Garra waterloti
Lineage: Eukaryota; Metazoa; Chordata; Actinopteri; Cypriniformes; Cyprinidae
Description: partial 16S ribosomal RNA
Rfam family: Bacterial large subunit ribosomal RNA
Source: RNAcentral
AAACAUCGCCUCCUGCAACACAUUAAAUAUAGGAGGUCCAACCUGCCCAGUGACUACAAGUUUAACGGCCGCGGUAUUUUGACCGUGCAAAGGUAGCGCAAUCACUUGUCUUUUAAAUAAAGACCUGUAUGAAUGGCCAAACGAAGGCUUAACUGUCUCCCCUUUCAAGUCAGUGAAAUUGAUCUACCCGUGCAGAAGCGGGUAUAACAAUACAAGACGAGAAGACCCUUUGGAGCUUAAGGUACAAAAUUUAACCACGUUAAGCAACUUAAUAAUAAAGCAAUAAACCUUGUGGAAUGUAAAACUUUACCUUCGGUUGGGGCGACCACGGAGUAAAACAAAACCUCCAUAGUGGACUGGGAUAAUUUCCUAAAACCAAGAGAGACAUCUCUAAGCCACAGAAUAUCUGACCAAAAAUGAUCCGGACACCAAGACCGAUCAACGAACCAAGUUACCCUAGGGAUAACAGCGCAAUCCUCUCCCAGAGUCCAUAUCGACGAGGGGGUUUACGACCUCGAUGUUGGAUCAGGACACCCUAAUGGUGCAGCCGCUAUUAAGGGUUCGUUUGUUCAACGAUUAAAGUCCUACGUGA